UACGGAGGGUGCAAGCGUUGUUCGGAAUUACUGGGCGUAAAGCGCGCGUAGGCGGUGUGCUAAGUCAGAUGUGAAAGCCCUCGGCUUAACCGGGGACGUGCAUUUGAAACUGGCAGACUUGAGUACUGGAGGGGGUGGUGGAAUUCCCGGUGUAGAGGUGAAAUUCGUAGAUAUCGGGAGGAAUACCGGUGGCGAAGGCGACCACCUGGCCAGAUACUGACGCUGAGGUGCGAAAGCGUGGGGAGCAAACAGG
RNAcentral lists this ribosomal RNA (253 nucleotides) under uncultured bacterium. RNAcentral's name for it is "partial 16S ribosomal RNA". It matches the Rfam family "Bacterial small subunit ribosomal RNA", at positions 524 to 776 of the family's 1533-position model. The record is from RNAcentral.